This is a ribosomal RNA of Cercocebus atys (sooty mangabey), 119 nucleotides long. NCBI's taxonomy places the organism in Eukaryota, Metazoa, Chordata, Mammalia, Primates, Cercopithecidae. The record is from Ensembl.
GUUUGCGGUCAUACCAACUUGAACGCGCCAGAUCUCGUCUGACUUCAGAAGCUAAGCACGGUUGGGCCUGGUUAGUGCUUGGAUGGGAGACCGCCUGGGAAUACCGGGUGCUGUAGGCG